CCGCUGGUCAGAGACUCUGUAAAGCUGAGUUUGCGGAAGGACGUCUCCACGCCACUGUCACAGAUGCUGUCAUCUCGGAGCUCAUCUGAGUGGGGAGCAAGCACAGAGUCACUGAGGAACAGUGGGACUAAGGAACGCCUGCCAGACAAGGGACACUGGUGCUGAAAGUGAAUGAGAAUGGACUGGAGAGAGAUUGGCACCGGGGAAACUGAUUAGGAGCUGCUGCAGGAGUCAAGGCAAGAAAUGAAGGUGGAUGGACGAGAGCAGCUAUCACAGAGAGGAAGGACCUGGGCUGAUGAGCGGUGGUAGGAGCAUUCUAGAAAUGAGAGCAUCGCGUCCCAGAGAGCUCCUGACACGUGGCCAAGGCCCAGUCUCAGACAGGAAGAUGUGCGCCAUAUUGAUCACAGUCUAGCGCUUGUCCCGUAACAACCCUGACCUCCCAAUGACAUUAUUACAGGAAAUCUCAAGGUAUCUGAAAACAGCCUUGUUAGGAAGGUGGGUUCCAUCCUGGCCUGGUGCGCCUCCAGGGUGAGGACUGAUUCCUUCCUCAAGGGGGAAGAGGGAAGGGAACUGUGCCAGGUCAGUGGUAUCGAAUGAAGAUGGUCAAGGACCUCAGGUGAUG
This is a long non-coding RNA of Manis javanica (Malayan pangolin), 622 nucleotides long. RefSeq lists it as uncharacterized. The record is from RefSeq and is a predicted model, not a curated record. NCBI's taxonomy places the organism in Eukaryota, Metazoa, Chordata, Mammalia, Pholidota, Manidae.